This 497-nucleotide ribosomal RNA is filed under the name uncultured bacterium. Its description in RNAcentral is "partial 16S ribosomal RNA". It matches the Rfam family "Bacterial small subunit ribosomal RNA", at positions 28 to 507 of the family's 1533-position model. The record is from RNAcentral.
GAUGAACGCUGGCGGCGUGCCUAAUACAUGCAAGUCGAGCGAACAGACGAGGAGCUUGCUCCUCUGACGUUAGCGGCGGACGGGUGAGUAACACGUGGAUAACCUACCUAUAAGACUGGGAUAACUUCGGGAAACCGGAGCUAAUACCGGAUAAUAUAUUGAACCGCAUGGUUCAAUAGUGAAAGACGGUUUUGCUGUCACUUAUAGAUGGAUCCGCGCUGCAUUAGCUAGUUGGUAAGGUAACGGCUUACCAAGGCAACGGUGCAUAGCCGACCUGAGAGGGUGAUCGGCCACACUGGAACUGAGACACGGGCCAGACUCCUACGGGAGGCAGCGGUAGGGAAUCUUCCGCAAUGGGCGAAAGCCUGACGGAGCAACGCCGCGGGAGUGAUGAAGGUCUUCGGAUCGUAAAACUCUGUUAUUAGGGAAGAACAUAUGUGUAAGUAACUGUGCACGUCUUGACGGUACCGAAUCAGAAAGCCACGGCUAACUACGUG